CUGUGAAGUGUACAAGAACUUGUGAGUAGCGUGUUAUUUGUAACCGCAAAAACAUACACGGUGAAACAGUAA
This 72-nucleotide small RNA is filed under the name Candidatus Ruminococcus intestinipullorum. Its description in RNAcentral is "RAGATH-18 RNA". It matches the Rfam family "RAGATH-18 RNA". From Rfam's summary of the family: Actinobacteria, Firmicutes, Fusobacteria, Thermotogae (1 example). Nearby to self-cleaving ribozyme genes Lineage: Bacteria; Bacillati; Bacillota; Clostridia; Eubacteriales; Oscillospiraceae. The record is from RNAcentral.